UACGGAGGGUGCAAGCGUUGCUCGGAAUUAUUGGGCGUAAAGGGUAGGUAGGUGGUCUCAUUUGUCUGGGGUGAAAGCCUUGGGCUUAACUCAAGAAGUGCCCCAGAAACGGUGAGACUGGAGUCCUGGAGAGGGUCGUGGAAUUCCCGGUGUAGCGGUGAAAUGCGUAGAGAUCGGGAGGAACACCAGAGGCGAAAGCGGCGACCUGGACAGGCACUGACACUGAGGCACGAAAGCUAGGGGAGCAAACAGG
This 253-nucleotide ribosomal RNA is filed under the name uncultured bacterium. RNAcentral's name for it is "partial 16S ribosomal RNA". It matches the Rfam family "Bacterial small subunit ribosomal RNA", at positions 524 to 776 of the family's 1533-position model. The record is from RNAcentral.